AUUGAACGCUGGCGGCAGGCUUAACACAUGCAAGUCGAACGGUAACAUAAAGAAGCUUGCUUCUUUGAUGACGAGUGGCGGACGGGUGAGUAAUGCUUGGGAAUCUAGCUUAUGGAGGGGGAUAACUACGGGAAACUGUAGCUAAUACCGCGUAAUAUCGAAAGAUUAAAGUGUGGGACCUUCGGGCCACAUGCCAUAGGAUGAGCCCAAGUGGGAUUAGGUAGUUGGUGAGGUAAAGGCUCACCAAGCCGACGAUCUCUAGCUGGUCUGAGAGGAUGACCAGCCACACUGGGACUGAGACACGGCCCAGACUCCUACGGGAGGCAGCAGUGGGGAAUAUUGCGCAAUGGGGGCAACCCUGACGCAGCCAUGCCGCGUGAAUGAAGAAGGCCUUCGGGUUGUAAAGUUCUUUCGGUAGCGAGGAAGGCAUUUAGUUUAAUAGACUAGGUGAUUGAC
Molecule: ribosomal RNA, 456 nt
Filed under: Streptococcus sp. oral taxon C14
Lineage: Bacteria; Bacillati; Bacillota; Bacilli; Lactobacillales; Streptococcaceae
Description: bacterial SSU rRNA
Rfam family: Bacterial small subunit ribosomal RNA
Source: RNAcentral